This 253-nucleotide ribosomal RNA is filed under the name uncultured bacterium. RNAcentral describes it as "partial 16S ribosomal RNA". It matches the Rfam family "Bacterial small subunit ribosomal RNA", at positions 524 to 776 of the family's 1533-position model. The record is from RNAcentral.
UACAGAGGGGGCAAGCGUUGUUCGGAAUUCCUGGGCGUAAAGGGCGCGUAGGCGGCCUGCUCAGUCGAACGUGAAAUCCCUGGGCUCAACCCAGGAACUGCGUCCGAUACUGGUUGGCUUGAAUCCGGGAGAGGGAUGUGGAAUUCCAGGUGUAGCGGUGAAAUGCGUAGAUAUCUGGAGGAACACCGGUGGCGAAGGCGACAUCCUGGACCGGUAUUGACGCUGAGGCGCGAAAGCCAGGGGAGCAAACGGG